ACCCGGAGAACUGAAACAUCUUAGUACCCGGAGGAAGAGAAAGAAAAUUCGAUUCCCUUAGUAGCGGCGAGCGAAACGGGAAGAGCCCAAACCAAAAAGCUUGCUUGUUGGGGUUGUAGGACACUCUAUACGGAGUUACAAAGGACGACAUUAGACGAAUCAUCUGGAAAGAUGAAUCAAAGAAGGUAAUAAUCCUGUAGUCGAAAAUGUUGUCUCUCUUGAGUGGAUCCUGAGUACGACGGAGCACGUGAAAUUCCGUCGGAAUCUGGGAGGACCAUCUCCUAAGGCUAAAUACUCUCUAGUGACCGAUAGUGAACCAGUACCGUGAGGGAAAGGUGAAAAGCACCCCGGAAGGAGAGUGAAAUAGAACCUGAAACCGUGUGCUUACAAGUAGUCAGAGCCCGUUAAUGGGUGAUGGCGUGCCUUUUGUAGAAUGAACCGGCGAGUUACGAUUUGAUGCAAGGUUAAGCAGUAAAUGUGGAGCCGUAGCGAAAGCGAGUCUGAAUAGGGCGUUUAGUAUUUGGUCGUAGACCCGAAACCAGGUGAUCUACCCUUGGUCAGGUUGAAGUUCAGGUAACACUGAAUGGAGGACCGAACCGACUUACGUUGAAAAGUGAGCGGAUGAACUGAGGGUAGCGGAGAAAUUCCAAUCGAACCUGGAGAUAGCUGGUUCUCUCCGAAAUAGCUUUAGGGCUAGCCUCAAGUGAUGAUUAUUGGAGGUAGAGCACUGUUUGGACGAGGGGCCCCUCUCGGGUUACCGAAUUCAGACAAACUCCGAAUGCCAAUUAAUUUAACUUGGGAGUCAGAACAUGGGUGAUAAGGUCCGUGUUCGAAAGGGAAACAGCCCAGACCACCAGCUAAGGUCCCAAAAUAUAUGUUAAGUGGAAAAGGAUGUGGCGUUGCCCAGACAACUAGGAUGUUGGCUUAGAAGCAGCCAUCAUUUAAAGAGUGCGUAAUAGCUCACUAGUCGAGUGACACUGCGCCGAAAAUGUACCGGGGCUAAACAUAUUACCGAAGCUGUGGAUUGUCCUUUGGACAAUGGUAGGAGAGCGUUCUAAGGGCGUUGAAGCAUGAUCGUAAGGACAUGUGGAGCGCUUAGAAGUGAGAAUGCCGGUGUGAGUAGCGAAAGACGGGUGAGAAUCCCGUCCACCGAUUGACUAAGGUUUCCAGAGGAAGGCUCGUCCGCUCUGGGUUAGUCGGGUCCUAAGCUGAGGCCGACAGGCGUAGGCGAUGGAUAACAGGUUGAUAUUCCUGUACCACCUAUAAUCGUUUUAAUCGAUGGGGGGACGCAGUAGGAUAGGCGAAGCGUGCGAUUGGAUUGCACGUCUAAGCAGUAAGGCUGAGUAUUAGGCAAAUCCGGUACUCGUUAAGGCUGAGCUGUGAUGGGGAGAAGACAUUGAGUCUUCGAGUCGUUGAUUUCACACUGCCGAGAAAAGCCUCUAGAUAGAAAAUAGGUGCCCGUACCGCAAACCGACACAGGUAGUCAAGAUGAGAAUUCUAAGGUGAGCGAGCGAACUCUCGUUAAGGAACUCGGCAAAAUGACCCCGUAACUUCGGGAGAAGGGGUGCUCUUUAGGGUUAACGCCCAGAAGAGCCGCAGUGAAUAGGCCCAAGCGACUGUUUAUCAAAAACACAGGUCUCUGCUAAACCGUAAGGUGAUGUAUAGGGGCUGACGCCUGCCCGGUGCUGGAAGGUUAAGAGGAGUGGUUAGCUUCUGCGAAGCUACGAAUCGAAGCCCCAGUAAACGGCGGCCGUAACUAUAACGGUCCUAAGGUAGCGAAAUUCCUUGUCGGGUAAGUUCCGACCCGCACGAAAGGCGUAACGAUUUGGGCACUGUCUCAACGAGAGACUCGGUGAAAUCAUAGUACCUGUGAAGAUGCAGGUUACCCGCGACAGGACGGAAAGACCCCGUGGAGCUUUACUGUAGCCUGAUAUUGAAAUUCGGCACAGCUUGUACAGGAUAGGUAGGAGCCUUUGAAACGUGAGCGCUAGCUUACGUGGAGGCGCUGGUGGGAUACUACCCUAGCUGUGUUGGCUUUCUAACCCGCACCACUUAUCGUGGUGGGAGACAGUGUCAAGCGGGCAGUUUGACUGGGGCGGUCGCCUCCUAAAAGGUAACGGAGGCGCUCAAAGGUUCCCUCAGAAUGGUUGGAAAUCAUUCAUAGAGUGUAAAGGCAUAAGGGAGCUUGACUGCGAGACCUACAAGUCGAGCAGGGUCGAAAGACGGACUUAGUGAUCCGGUGGUUCCGCAUGGAAGGGCCAUCGCUCAACGGAUAAAAGCUACCCCGGGGAUAACAGGCUUAUCUCCCCCAAGAGUUCACAUCGACGGGGAGGUUUGGCACCUCGAUGUCGGCUCAUCGCAUCCUGGGGCUGUAGUCGGUCCCAAGGGUUGGGCUGUUCGCCCAUUAAAGCGGUACGCGAGCUGGGUUCAGAACGUCGUGAGACAGUUCGGUCCCUAUCCGUCGUGGGCGUAGGAAAUUUGAGAGGAGCUGUCCUUAGUACGAGAGGACCGGGAUGGACAUACCUCUGGUGUACCAGUUGUCGUGCCAACGGCAUAGCUGGGUAGCUAUGUGUGGACGGGAUAAGUGCUGAAAGCAUCUAAGCAUGAAGCCCCCCUCAAGAUGAGAUUUCCCAACUUCGGUUAUAAGAUCCCUCAAAGAUGAUGAGGUUAAUAGGUUCGAGGUGGAAGCAUGGUGACAUGUGGAGCUGACGAAUACUAAUCGAUCGAAGACUUAAUCAA
RNAcentral lists this ribosomal RNA (2739 nucleotides) under Staphylococcus aureus W56912. RNAcentral's name for it is "bacterial LSU rRNA". It matches the Rfam family "Bacterial large subunit ribosomal RNA". Lineage: Bacteria; Bacillati; Bacillota; Bacilli; Caryophanales; Staphylococcaceae. RNAcentral also lists the same sequence under 1 other name. The record is from RNAcentral.